CACUGGUAUGAUUUGUCUGUUCCAAAUUGGCUGUGUUUCAAACCAACCUCUCUGCUUGUAAUUUUAUUUUGAGCUAAUGGAAAGCAAUCUCUUUGAGUUUACUUCUAGUUGAUUUGGUCUCUGUUUUAUGAUAUACAACUAUAGUCAUAUGAAUAUGGCAUGCAUACACACACAUACAUACAUACGUACAUACAUACAUGCACAGUGCAUACAUACGCACAUGCAUAUAUGCAUAUGUGUGAGCACGUCCGCGUUGCAUAUGAACGGACAUGUAUGUGUCCCGCAUUUUUUUGAGACUACAUUUUGUCUUUGUAUCACGUAUUGUGCAACAUCUUGGUGUGCUGUUUUAGUAACCGUGUGUCAUAAUCCUUAACUCAUUUGGCCUGAGCAAGCCUACUAAUAUAAACUAUAGUAGCAUGGUACAUUUGCUUAAAUGGCUUUAGGUUAGCGCAUUGCAUUUCUUCACUGUCGGUGCUUGGUUAAUAUCUCAUAUACAUCAUAUAACUAUCUUAAAUUCUGUUACAAAAUCAUGGGAAGCACUUGGAAUCUUGGUUAGCAAGUUCACAUUUAUGCAAACUUUAUGUAGAUCUCAAUUUAGUUCUUUUCUGAACCAAAUUAUAUGUUUACUUUUUCAUUCUACAAACUAGGAUACAACUCACUGCUAAUUGAGUAAGCUGGAUGAUAUUCAUAUCAUCUGAUUAUUAGGCAGGCAUGGUCAGGGUUAAGUAAGCUUAUCGAGUCAGGUUUGGGCCAGCCUAGUGCAGGUCUGGUCAAAACUGAUUUGCCUGUAUACCUGAUUGCAACCGCUAUUGUAGGGCUAUAUGAAAUUGGUCAAAAUGGGUAAAAGGUAACUUCCAUUUGAUGCUGAUUUUGCUUGGUAUUUGGCUUCAGGUUGACCAGCUUAGACUAGGGAUUAAUGUCCAUCGACUGUAUGUUGGUGGACGUGAUAUUGGAAUGCCUAGAUGGAGGUGACAAAAGAAUAGGGUUAUUUUCACAAAGCCUUCCUCAACUUUUGGGGGUUGGUGGUGUUGCACAGGAAAUAUGUGAAAGAAAAUUCAUUACAAGUUGCACUUAGAAAUAAACCUACAGAAGUGAGUGUUGAUAACUGUGAUUGGCUAGUUAAGGAACGUUAUUUUUCUUCAAAAUUCUAGGUAUUAAUCUCCUAAUUUUAUUAAUUUUGUUCCAUGUAUAUUAUUAGAUUGUUGAAAUUAUCUUUUAAUCUUGAUGUAUAGAAAGCAAGCCAACAAAAUACACUUAACAGAGGCAAAAGAAAGAUGCUCCACCACACGGGCAGCAAACCCUUUAGACAAAUUGCGUGGGAAUUGGGUGGCAAGUCAGGAAAUCCACCUGAUAUGGCACAAAUGUUUCAUGAAACUCGAAAGGAAGCUAAUGAAAUACUAGAUAUUGGAGAUCAAGAUAAAUAUGAUGAAAUUGUUCAAGUCAAAUAAGCAAACUCUUCACUUUCUGACAUUGAGAUAGUUGAGAAAAUCUGGGGAAAGCAAUCUCAUGGUCACAUCACAGUAUUUGGUGGCGGGACUACUUUGAAAGAUUUGAGAGGACUGCUCCCUAGUCGAUCUGAUCUGGAAGCACGAGUUAUAGAAGAAAAAAGAAAGAACCAGAUACUUUAACAAUGCUUAGAUGAGCAGGAGCAACAACAACAAAGGAUGUCUGAGUUGGAGUCACAAGUGAAAGCUAUGCAAGAACUUUUUUUAG
Long non-coding RNA from Asparagus officinalis (garden asparagus), 1713 nucleotides. RefSeq lists it as uncharacterized. The record is from RefSeq and is a predicted model, not a curated record. The transcript has 3 exons. Lineage: Eukaryota; Viridiplantae; Streptophyta; Magnoliopsida; Asparagales; Asparagaceae.